This 504-nucleotide ribosomal RNA is filed under the name uncultured bacterium. Its description in RNAcentral is "bacterial SSU rRNA". It matches the Rfam family "Bacterial small subunit ribosomal RNA", at positions 105 to 607 of the family's 1533-position model. The record is from RNAcentral.
AAUGAAUAGUCUGGGAAACUGCCUGAUGGAGGGGGAUAACUACUGGAAACGGUAGCUAAUACCGCAUAACGUCGCAAGACCAAAGAGGGGGACCUUCGGGCCUCUUGCCAUCAGAUGUGCCCAGAUGGGAUUAGCUAGUAGGUGGGGUAAUGGCUCACCUAGGCGACGAUCCCUAGCUGGUCUGAGAGGAUGACCAGCCACACUGGAACUGAGACACGGUCCGGACUCCUACGGGAGGCAGCAGUGGGGAAUAUUGCGCAAUGGGCGCAAGCCUGAUGCAGCCAUGCCGCGUGUGUGAAGAAGGCCUUCGGGUUGUAAAGCACUUUCAGCGAGGAGGAAGGUGGUGAGCUUAAUACGCUCAUCAAUUGACGUUACUCGCAGAAGAAGCACCGGCUAACUCCGUGCCAGCAGCCGCGGUAAUACGGAGGGUGCAAGCGUUAAUCGGAAUUACUGGGCGUAAAGCGCACGCAGGCGGUUUGUUAAGUCAGAUGUGAAAUCCCCGGG